Molecule: long non-coding RNA, 1442 nt
Organism: Scleropages formosus (Asian bonytongue)
Lineage: Eukaryota; Metazoa; Chordata; Actinopteri; Osteoglossiformes; Osteoglossidae
Source: Ensembl
GGCGGCAUAGGGUCGGAGCCAUUGCCGCGCAAAGGACGCAGGUUUAAAUCCCACCGCCUGCUGUAGUAUCCAUCAGAAAGGUUCUUAACUGAACUGAUACAACAAAGAUUACCCUGUUGUUAAAAUGGGUGAAUUAUGGCUGCCCCCUCCGUCAAACAGAGAGCUGCUUUCUAAGGACCCCCCCUCACCAACAAUGGUCCUCCUGCUGCUCCCUAUCACUCUGCCAGCAGCGGAGUCAAGAUGAGCACCGUCCAGCAGCACCUUCCUCCCACAUCCCUCUUUCCAUUGUCUUCGGCACCGCGACCCCUCGGCAUGAAAAUCCCGGCACUCCCACACUGAAGUUUAGCACCUGUCUUCUGGACUCCAGUAGUACAAUUUCGAUGCCUGACGUGCAAUGGAAGGUGAACGAACGCAUGGAGCGUCGGGCAACACGCCGCCAUGGGAUGCCGCCGUCAGUGUGCUCGCAAUCAGCAUCGACUACGAUAAUUGAGAGUAAAACUGCGGCGAAGGAGAUGGAGAGCAUGCAGAGGAAGACCAAAGCGACAGCUCCUUUGAACGCCACCGCUCCUUUUGCGCGAGGGGCUGGAGGAAGGCGGCUCGCGAACACAUAGCAGCUGGGUCUCGGCAGCAGUCGCUUGAAAGCAUGACACAUCCUAUUACUCCUGUGAGAUCAGGCAAUUUCCACGUCAUCUCCUGUUUCUGAGGGUAUUUAUAGACUUUCAAAGGCAGCAUGGCAGUAGGCAAGCAUCCCUCUCCUUGUCUCUCACUCCCAGUCUCUUGCUCUCUCUCUCCCUCCGUCUCUCGCUCUUGCCUCUGAUCUUGCUCGAGCUAAUGUCCUCUCUCUUCGCCGUCGCCCCACCUUCCCACACACACACACACACACACACACACACACACACACACACACACACUGCCUCCUGCUGUCCCUGCUGCUUGAGAUCAGCAUCGAUUAAAAUCUGAGGUUCAGCUGACGACGAGACUACACCCAUGAACACCAAGCCCAGAAACGUGCAUUAAGAGCCAAUAUCUGGAUACCGCCCCCGCCCCCGCCCCCCCCCAAGGGCACCCGUGUUAUCUGACUAGCUGAUCUCCAAGGGGUUGUAAGCCACUGUCUAAAUCAUGCGGUAUCGGCAAGGAGAAUGCAGUUGCCGUGGCGACCCAGCAGGCCAACGAAACGCACGGGCUCCCCGGAGACGGGCUAAUACAAGCUGUAGCGCAAGCAGGUGGCCGAAAUGAGCCGCGCACGACAGCUUUGAAGACCAAAUUACAACAAUUUGCUUCAGAUUUAUCUGUUUUUGUCCAAACAUCGCCAUUUUUACCUUAACAGCCUUGAGGGGAGGAAGUACAUGUAAAAAAAAUAGAGGAAGAGAAGGAAGGCAGUGGCAUUUUAAGUGUAGCGUAACAGCGAGCAGCUGUGGCACAUCGCAACGCGUGACCCGUGU